Molecule: non-coding RNA, 23 nt
Filed under: Mus musculus (house mouse)
Lineage: Eukaryota; Metazoa; Chordata; Mammalia; Rodentia; Muridae
Source: RNAcentral
UAAUGUGUGAAUUUGGUUUAUGU